This 687-nucleotide ribosomal RNA is filed under the name uncultured bacterium. Its description in RNAcentral is "bacterial SSU rRNA". It matches the Rfam family "Bacterial small subunit ribosomal RNA", at positions 9 to 691 of the family's 1533-position model. The record is from RNAcentral.
GAGUUUGAUCAUGGCUCAGAUUGAACGCUGGCGGCAUGCCUUACACAUGCAAGUCGAACGGCAGCACGGGAGCAAUCCUGGUGGCGAGUGGCGAACGGGUGAGUAAUAUAUCGGAACGUGCCCAGUCGUGGGGGAUAACGUAGCGAAAGCUACGCUAAUACCGCAUACGAUCUACGGAUGAAAGCGGGGGACUCGCAAGAGCCUCGCGCGAUUGGAGCGGCCGAUAUCAGAUUAGGUUGUUGGUGAGGUAAAAGCUCACCAAGCCUGCGAUCUGUAGCUGGUCUGAGAGGACGACCAGCCACACUGGAACUGAGACACGGUCCAGACUCCUACGGGAGGCAGCAGUGGGGAAUUUUGGACAAUGGACGCAAGUCUGAUCCAGCAAUGCCGCGUGCAGGACGAAGGCCUUCGGGUUGUAAACUGCUUUUGUACGGAACGAAACGGUCUUCUUUAAUACAGAGGGCUAAUGACGGUACCGUAAGAAUAAGCACCGGCUAACUACGUGCCAGCAGCCGCGGUAAUACGUAGGGUGCGAGCGUUAAUCGGAAUUACUGGGCGUAAAGCGUGCGCAGGCGGUUAUAUAAGUCAGAUGUGAAAUCCCCGGGCUCAACCUGGGACCUGCAUUUGAGACUGUAUAGCUAGAGUACGGUAGAGGGGGAUGGAAUUCGCGUGUAGCAGUGAAUGCGU